UACGGAGGGUGCAAGCGUUAUCCGGAAUCACUGGGCGUAAAGGGCGCGUAGGUGGUCUGUUAAGUCUGGCGUUAAAGCCUGCGGCUCAACCCCAGAUCAGCGUUGGAUACUGGCAGGCUAGACGGCUGGAGAGGCGAGUGGAAUUACCAGUGUAGCGGUGGAAUGCGUAGAUACUGGUAGGAACACCCAUUGCGAAGGCAGCUCGCUGGACAGCACGUGACGCUGAGGCGCGAAAGUGUGGGGAGCAAACCGGAUUAGA
Molecule: ribosomal RNA, 259 nt
Filed under: uncultured prokaryote
Description: partial 16S ribosomal RNA
Rfam family: Bacterial small subunit ribosomal RNA
Source: RNAcentral